Molecule: long non-coding RNA, 5830 nt
Filed under: Sus scrofa (pig)
Lineage: Eukaryota; Metazoa; Chordata; Mammalia; Artiodactyla; Suidae
Description: lncRNA (ENSSSCG00050033131.1)
Source: RNAcentral
AUUUAAUAGUGUGUGCAGAAGCUCCUCCUGUUGUAGUUAAAGUAAGAUGGAACAAAAGUUAAUUCAAUCAGGAAGUUCCUGGGGUAAACAAUAUACUUAAGUGGCUUUCCUGUCUUUAGUGUGGUGACAUUUCUGAUGGUUUGAAAUAGCAGCCCUGUAAAUGUAUGUACAGAGAUGGUGAAUGCUCCUGAAAGUGUAGUGAACAAAAUCUAAAUAUUUCAAAGAGAAUAACUGAUUGACGAAUUCAAAUUCAUACAAUAAAUUUGUAAAAAAUGCUCCCUUAAGAUAAUUAACCCAUGGUUUUCUCAAUGUGUUCUCAUAAACACCAGAUACACUAAUAUACAGACCAAGUCUGGUUUAGUCAGAACAUUUAAUUGAAUGACAUUGCUUGAAUUUAUAGCAAUAGAAUUUCUGAUUAUUCAUUCAGAUUUGUAACAAAUAUACAAAGACAAAGUUUCAGUGCCUUAUAUAAGUUUGAUAAGUAAUAUUUUCAAGAUUAUGCUAUGGAAUAAUGUGGAAGAAAACUAAAGUUUCAAGGUUGAAUAAUAUGGAAUAAACAUGAAUUGCCAAUUAUCAAUUAAAAACAGCCCCAAACUAGAACAUAUAUUUUCUGUUCCUUGUUACCAGUUUCGCUCCAAAUGAAGUUCAAACAACUUGUUAAUUUUAAUUCAAACCUGUCUUGAGUGAGCAAUUAAGGUAUAAUAUUAGUUUUAUUGGAUGUAUAAGAUCUAUUCUUCCCUACAUACUGAAACUUCCACAACCACUCAAAAAACAGCUCUUUCAUUUUUUCGUUUCUUUGUGAAACGAAACUUAAAAUUCACAGCUAAGAAAAAGGCAAUCCUGACUAAGUUUUCUUAGAAGCUUGAAAUUAUCCUUAAAGCUUCUUUUUUGACUCAAGUACUUAUUUGAAGCAUCUUCUUACCUUUGAGUGCAAACGCAGCUUAAAAACUUACAUUCUUCCAUUUCUGCAACACACAUACAUUUUUGCAAUACUUCUUAUUUGAGAACCUUUGAGAUCAAGGACAGAUACUUGACAUUUUAAAUAUAUAGCUAUCUUUCUGUUUCAGCUACACACUAAUUAUGUUGAACAGUGGCAAAAACUGGAGAAACAUAACUUGAAGAAUCUAUGUUUCCUUUUAGGGGGAACUCUAGCAGGUUUUCAUGGGUAACUUCCAUUCAUCCACGAAAUGUGGGCAUUUUCACCCAUCUCUUGUUUAACCAGUAUGAAAGACAAGAUGAUAAAUCACCGCCAUACAAAGAUAGGCCAGAAUGACCAUGAAAGCUCACUCAUGUCGUUAUAACUUUUUAAACCUGUCCUUGACAGCUUCUAUUCAAGAAACUCAAUUCUGACUUAGAGUAAGAACCAGCAAUUCCAAUAUAAGCUCUUGUGAUGAACUAUUAAAGAUAUUUUUCUCAUCAACUGUAUUGAAUCAGUAAGGUAAACAAAAGUUUCAUCUAGCUUCACAUGAGUCUUUUCAUGACAAAAGUGAUAACAAGUUGACAUGCUUUACUCUUUUAGGUAGAGAUUUGCAAGAGUCUAAGCUGAAGGUAAUGUAUUUGAUUAGCAUGUGAAACUGGACAGUUAUUAACUGUUUAUUAAAAUUUUAUCAAUUACCAAACUUUGGUCUCAGUUAAGUCAUGCCAUACUGAUUUCUGUGAUUAUUUAGAAGGUAUUCCCUCAACAACUAAGACAAUAUGAUUUUUUAAACAUCUCCAGUACUGUGCACAUGAGAUGCUGGAUAUUAGCGAAUAGUCAACAGUUUCUGUGUGUCAGCUAUGGUAACGCCCCAUUUAUUCAUUCUUAUAAUAUCCUUCAAAGUCUGACUUGGAGUUCCCACAGUGGCACACUGGGUUAAGGAUCCUGUGUUGCUGCAGCUGUGGUGUAGGUCGCAGCUGCGGCUCAGAUUCAAUCUCUGGCCUAAGGAACUUACAUAUGCCACGCUAGGGUGGCCAAAAAAAAUAAAUUAAUUAAAAAAAUAAUGUUGGCUGGCCCUUUUUAUAUAAAAACUUUCUUCAAGAAUGUAGAUUAUUUUUAAAAACAGGUUUUACUUUUCUUUUGAAACUUAGUAUCUUAAGUGCUUUAUGUCCCCUGGAGUUUGGAGACAGCCUGAGUUAUUUUAGAAGUUAAAAGUAAUAUAUUGGCAAAAGUGAACCUUGAAAAUACCAAAUCUUUUUAAAAUUUUAUGUUAGGGAAUAAUGAGCCAGGCACCUGUUUAUUGUUAGAAAGCUUUAUAUGGCCAACACCAGGCGUUGUAAGGGUAGCUACCAUGUGAAAAUAUGGGCUGUCCCAGCAUCACUGGCAACUAGGUAAGCUGUGGAAAAGUCCAUUGCUAAAGACUCAUUCUUUAACUAGAAACACGGGGUUCUGACACACUUUAUUAGAUGGUAGUUCAGAAGGCAUUGGAAAAUAGCACAUAAAAUUUAACUACUGUAUAUGCUACUAGACUGGUUUGCUUGUAUAUCAAGUAUUUUUGUUAUUUUUGGUUCUUUUUCAAAAAUAUUUACUGGAUGUCUGAUCAAUGGUGUGCACUAGGGUAAACCUUGGGAAUAUAACAAAUGAAGAGAUAUAAGAUUGCUCUUAAGAGGCUUAUGGUGUUUUGUUUCAUUUUGUUCGUUUUUUUUUUGUUAUUUGAAGAAUGCUUUGUUUUAAUUAAUCCACUCAGGCAAAUUAAAUGCUUGGGCACUCAUUUUAUUUUCACAUGUCCAAUUGUUGAUAUUGUAAAUAUAACACUCUUUAAGAGAAGACGAGCGUUGUCCAAUUCCUCAGUAUAAGAAAAGGUCAUUUGAUAAUGUGCCUUCUAUCUAGAAUAUUAGAGAGAAAGAGAGGAGCCAGGACAUUGCUGCAGAUAAAGUCCUAAUAAUUCUCAGAUUGAUGAUUUCCUUGACAUCGGAUUGUGUGUUGUUUUUUGUUUUGUUUUGUUUUGUUUUUCCAUAUUAGCUUUUUCGUUGGUUUGUUUUCUUUUCUUUUUUGACCACCCGGUGGCACAUAGAGUUCCCAGGCCAGGAAUCCGAUCGAAGUCACAGUUGCGGCAACACAGGAUCCUUAAUGCACUGCGCUGAGCUGGGAAUUGAACUUGUGUCCCCACACUCUGGAGAUGCUGCCAAUCCCAUCCUGUUGGGUCACAGCAGAAACUCCAACAUUAGCUUUUUUUUUUUUUUUUUUUUUUUUUUUUUGGAAACAAUUCCAAUGGGUUAUAGCUUUUGAUUUUUUUUUUUAGGAAUUAAAAUGAAUGAAAAAAAAUGGCAUAAACAUUGCAAAAAUACACUUUACAGGUUUAAUUUUCUUAUCCCAUCAUGUGUUUAUUGAAGGCCUUCCCUGGGCCAGGUUCUUUUGUUGCUGAUAUAGAUGCCUCAGGGAAUCAAACACAAAUCCUUGCCUUGUGCUGCUUAUACUAGAAUUAAUUGUUACGUUAUUGCAGGAGUGCUUGCCCUAUUAGUUGAAUGAUCUGUGUAACUAGAAUUGGGUAAGCUUAGGAGUCCACUGACGAUGUUUAUAACCACACACUCCUAGGUUGAAGAGUCAGUAUUUUUAUUUCUUAAUGUGUGGAUAAAAAGAAACUGAUGAUUAUUAUUUUGAAAUUUUAAAAGCUUUUUCUGUAAUCUAAAUAAUCAAGACCUUUAAAACAAACUUUUAAAUAAUUCUACUAAACUUUCUUGGAACCUCUCUCAAAUGAACUAUUUGCUUUGUCUCACGUAAUAACUUCUAAUUAGAAAACUCAUUUCACCUUCUAGGCCUGGUUAGCUUUGGAGCAAGUUUUUGUCAUAAUAUAGAUCAAGAGAUUUAUUGUCCAUUUGGUUACCAAACUCCCAAGAUUUCUGAACUUUAUUCCAGUAUUAUGUCUUAUUCUUAGAAUAUAUUAUAUUUACAGUAGUGUAAAUGCCUUGGCUGAGCAACGAGUUAGUAUUAUAUUUUCAGAUUUUUAUACAGGAUCAUUAUAAAUAUAUUUUUAAAAAGCAUUUUAAAGCUUUGAAAGCUAUUACUGAGGACAUUGUCCCUAAAGGCAGGGGGAAAAUGUUUAUUAUCUUUGUCAUUGCAUGGAUUUGCACAUAUAUGUUUUUUUUUUUUUUUUAAGCAUUUUUAAAAGUGUAGUUGAUUUACAAUGUUCCUUCAAUUUCUGCUAUACAGCAGAGUGACAUAUAUAUACAUUUUACGUAUAGACAUAUACACACAUUCAUUUUCUUCAAACCAUUUUCUAUCAUGUUCUCACCCAAGAGACUGGACGUAGUUUCCUGUGCUGUGCAGUAGGACCCCAUUGCUCAUCCAUGCUAAAUAUGAGUUUUGUUUUUUCAAAUGUUUCUUCGAAUUCCCUUUAAAUUGGCAUUUAUGUGACAUAAUUCCUUUGGUUAUUGCCAAGAAAUGUUUUAUUCUCCUCACAAAUGAGAGGGCCUUUUAUUAUUGGAUGAUGCCAGGAAAGGCCGGAUCAGAGCUUGCCGGUUAUAAUAACCAUAUUAAAUCUAGAUAUCCGUUACCGUGACUUCCGUUCCAUUCUUGCACGUAGAUGAUCUUAACCUCUAUUUUAGGCUGUCUUCUGUUUCUUUGUUUUGGUAGUCACAGAUAUUAGUUACAAUAAGUUUGCUGAAACACUCCUCGAAUUUUACUUUCCAUUAGAUUUUGUAAUCUAAGGAUACUCUUCUGAACAUCCUGCAUCUGAACUUUGUCCUUUAGUCUCAGAGCACUUUCUUUAUGAAUUAAGAUGAAAUAAAGUCUGAAUCUAAUCAGGCUUUUGAAAAAUAUGAUCUCUUAUGUUGAAACACCAUGAUAUUUUAUAUUUAAAAUGUAAAGAUAACCCAGGUGGCUCUUGAACUUUGGGCUCUUAAGAAUACUUUCUCCUCUGUUCUAGACAGAACUAAAGAAGGAAACUCAUUUUCUCCUCAUUUUUUUUUUUUUAAAUCAGUUCUACCAUUAGGCAGUAGCAUUUAACUUCCUCUUUAUUGGUAGGACAAGAUUGUAUUGACAGGAUCAAAUGGGAGAUUAGUUCCCUCUGCAGUAUAUACUCCUCCGAGGAAUACUAACCCUCAUUCAGAGGGAAAACACUUAAAGCUGUAAUUCAGAGGCACUGUAUUGCCUGAUCAGCUGAAUAAAAUAAAUAACGAGAACAACCCUCUUGAAUGCAGGUUUAGCAGAGUUAAGGGACUAAAAAGAUUCACUUCUAAGGCCAUUCUUAACCUUUCCAAUGUGGUUUAAGACAAGGAAGCUCAGUUUUGUUUUUCUUUUGUAAGAAUAAGAAAAGCAAAAAAGGACACUAAUAAUGUCCUAACAUACUGGUAGAAUGACAAUCUCUUGCUAGUGUAAGCAGACAUGAUGGAACAGCCCAUAAGGUUAAAAAUAAAAUAAAAUAACAUAAAAUAAAAUAAAAUAAACACGAGGAUUUCAAUUCAGUGCAUGUUCCAGAGCCUUGCGAUAUGCAUGACAGUGUGUUAAGCAUCAGACGCCAUCAAGACUAUUAUUCCAGCAGAUCCGUCAUAAUCUGGUCAUAUCUCCGAAGGUGUUUAAGGGGAUCAUGGGAGUUAUAUUGUAAAAUUUUAGAAGGCGAAUGAAUGGAAAACCAUCCUGUCGGCAGUUAUUUGAAUCAUUUUCAAACCACCAUAUUGAAAUGAAUUUAAGGUGGUUAAGAACCCACCAAAAUAUUUGUCCUUAAAAUUCAAAACGAAUUGCUAACUCAGAUAAGAAUGUAUUCUUUCCUUUCUGAAGUCUGAGUGGUUAACCUCAGGUUUCUGUGCUGCCUGGGGUUGAAUGGUUUUUUGUUUUGGUUUGGUUUGGUUUUGCUUUCAGAGGCUAGCACUUUUUCAGCUUUUUAUAAAUUUGUUCUACUUUUCUAAGGGAAAAAAA